RNAcentral lists this ribosomal RNA (488 nucleotides) under uncultured bacterium. RNAcentral's name for it is "partial 16S ribosomal RNA". It matches the Rfam family "Bacterial small subunit ribosomal RNA", at positions 28 to 507 of the family's 1533-position model. The record is from RNAcentral.
GACGAACGCUGGCGGCGUGCUUAACACAUGCAAGUCGAACGGAAAGGCCCUGCUUGUGUGGGGUGCUCGAGUGGCGAACGGGUGAGUAACACGUGAGUAACCUGCCCCUGACUUUGGGAUAACUUCAGGAAACUGGGGCUAAUACCGGAUAGGAGCUCCUGCUGCAUGGUGGGGGUUGGAAAGCUUCGGCGGUUGGGGCUGGACUCGCGGCGUAUCAGCUUGUUGGUGGGGUAGUGGCUUACCAAGGCUUUGACGUGUAGCCGGAGUGAGAGGGGGAACGGCCGCACUGGGAGGGAGCCACGGCCCAUGGGACUGCGGGAGGCACCAGUGGGGUACUGUAGACAGUGGGGGGAAGUCUUGCACAACAAGGGCGAGUGUAGGGAGGAGACGUUGGGUGUGGGAUCUGGGCUUGUACGUAACAAACCGCUUCUGGCUAAGACGAAGGGUUAGUGACGGUAAUGGAUAAAGAAGCACCGGCUAACUACGUG